AGCGUACACGGUGGAUGCCCUGGCAGUCAGAGGCGAUGAAGGACGUGCUAAUCUGCGAUAAGCGUCGGUGAGGUGAUAUGAACCGUUAUAACCGGCGAUUUCCGAAUGGGGAAACCCAGUGUGUUUCGACACACUAUCAUUAACUGAAUCCAUAGGUUAAUGAGGCGAACCGGGGGAACUGAAACAUCUAAGUACCCCGAGGAAAAGAAAUCAACCGAGAUUCCCCCAGUAGCGGCGAGCGAACGGGGAGGAGCCCAGAGCCUGAAUCAGUGUGUGUGUUAGUGGAAGCGUCUGGAAAGGCGCGCGAUACAGGGUGACAGCCCCGUACACAAAAAUGCACAUAUUGUGAGCUCGAUGAGUAGGGCGGGACACGUGGUAUCCUGUCUGAAUAUGGGGGGACCAUCCUCCAAGGCUAAAUACUCCUGACUGACCGAUAGUGAACCAGUACCGUGAGGGAAAGGCGAAAAGAACCCCGGCGAGGGGAGUGAAAAAGAACCUGAAACCGUGUACGUACAAGCAGUGGGAGCCUCUUAAUGGGGUGACUGCGUACCUUUUGUAUAAUGGGUCAGCGACUUAUAUUCUGUAGCAAGGUUAACCGAAUAGGGGAGCCGAAGGGAAACCGAGUCUUAACUGGGCGUUAAGUUGCAGGGUAUAGACCCGAAACCCGGUGAUCUAGCCAUGGGCAGGUUGAAGGUUGGGUAACACUAACUGGAGGACCGAACCGACUAAUGUUGAAAAAUUAGCGGAUGACUUGUGGCUGGGGGUGAAAGGCCAAUCAAACCGGGAGAUAGCUGGUUCUCCCCGAAAGCUAUUUAGGUAGCGCCUCGUGAAUUCAUCUCCGGGGGUAGAGCACUGUUUCGGCAAGGGGGUCAUCCCGACUUACCAACCCGAUGCAAACUGCGAAUACCGGAGAAUGUUAUCACGGGAGACACACGGCGGGUGCUAACGUCCGUCGUGAAGAGGGAAACAACCCAGACCGCCAGCUAAGGUCCCAAAGUCAUGGUUAAGUGGGAAACGAUGUGGGAAGGCCCAGACAGCCAGGAUGUUGGCUUAGAAGCAGCCAUCAUUUAAAGAAAGCGUAAUAGCUCACUGGUCGAGUCGGCCUGCGCGGAAGAUGUAACGGGGCUAAACCAUGCACCGAAGCUGCGGCAGCGACGCUUAUGCGUUGUUGGGUAGGGGAGCGUUCUGUAAGCCUGUGAAGGUGGCCUGUGAGGGUUGCUGGAGGUAUCAGAAGUGCGAAUGCUGACAUAAGUAACGAUAAAGCGGGUGAAAAGCCCGCUCGCCGGAAGACCAAGGGUUCCUGUCCAACGUUAAUCGGGGCAGGGUGAGUCGACCCCUAAGGCGAGGCCGAAAGGCGUAGUCGAUGGGAAACAGGUUAAUAUUCCUGUACUUGGUGUUACUGCGAAGGGGGGACGGAGAAGGCUAUGUUGGCCGGGCGACGGUUGUCCCGGUUUAAGCGUGUAGGCUGGUUUUCCAGGCAAAUCCGGAAAACCAAGGCUGAGGCGUGAUGACGAGGCACUACGGUGCUGAAGCGACAAAUGCCCUGCUUCCAGGAAAAGCCUCUAAGCAUCAGGUAACAUCAAAUCGUACCCCAAACCGACACAGGUGGUCAGGUAGAGAAUACCAAGGCGCUUGAGAGAACUCGGGUGAAGGAACUAGGCAAAAUGGUGCCGUAACUUCGGGAGAAGGCACGCUGAUAUGUAGGUGAAGCGACUUGCUCGUGGAGCUGAAAUCAGUCGAAGAUACCAGCUGGCUGCAACUGUUUAUUAAAAACACAGCACUGUGCAAACACGAAAGUGGACGUAUACGGUGUGACGCCUGCCCGGUGCCGGAAGGUUAAUUGAUGGGGUUAGCGGUAACGCGAAGCUCUUGAUCGAAGCCCCGGUAAACGGCGGCCGUAACUAUAACGGUCCUAAGGUAGCGAAAUUCCUUGUCGGGUAAGUUCCGACCUGCACGAAUGGCGUAAUGAUGGCCAGGCUGUCUCCACCCGAGACUCAGUGAAAUUGAACUCGCUGUGAAGAUGCAGUGUACCCGCGGCAAGACGGAAAGACCCCGUGAACCUUUACUAUAGCUUGACACUGAACAUUGAGCCUUGAUGUGUAGGAUAGGUGGGAGGCUUUGAAGUGUGGACGCCAGUCUGCAUGGAGCCGACCUUGAAAUACCACCCUUUAAUGUUUGAUGUUCUAACGUGGGCCCCUAAUCGGGGUUGCGGACAGUGUCUGGUGGGUAGUUUGACUGGGGCGGUCUCCUCCUAAAGAGUAACGGAGGAGCACGAAGGUUGGCUAAUCCUGGUCGGACAUCAGGAGGUUAGUGCAAUGGCAUAAGCCAGCUUGACUGCGAGCGUGACGGCGCGAGCAGGUGCGAAAGCAGGUCAUAGUGAUCCGGUGGUUCUGAAUGGAAGGGCCAUCGCUCAACGGAUAAAAGGUACUCCGGGGAUAACAGGCUGAUACCGCCCAAGAGUUCAUAUCGACGGCGGUGUUUGGCACCUCGAUGUCGGCUCAUCACAUCCUGGGGCUGAAGUAGGUCCCAAGGGUAUGGCUGUUCGCCAUUUAAAGUGGUACGCGAGCUGGGUUUAGAACGUCGUGAGACAGUUCGGUCCCUAUCUGCCGUGGGCGCUGGAGAACUGAGGGGGGCUGCUCCUAGUACGAGAGGACCGGAGUGGACGCAUCACUGGUGUUCGGGUUGUCAUGCCAAUGGCACUGCCCGGUAGCUAAAUGCGGAAGAGAUAAGUGCUGAAAGCAUCUAAGCACGAAACUUGCCCCGAGAUGAGUUCU
Molecule: ribosomal RNA, 2774 nt
Filed under: Escherichia coli
Lineage: Bacteria; Pseudomonadati; Pseudomonadota; Gammaproteobacteria; Enterobacterales; Enterobacteriaceae
Description: bacterial LSU rRNA
Rfam family: Bacterial large subunit ribosomal RNA
Source: RNAcentral